Molecule: long non-coding RNA, 32693 nt
Filed under: Nicotiana benthamiana
Lineage: Eukaryota; Viridiplantae; Streptophyta; Magnoliopsida; Solanales; Solanaceae
Description: long non-coding RNA (NBEN_LNC003590)
Source: RNAcentral
UUCCAAGACCCAGUCCAAACCUACCCCAGCUUGACAAACGACCCUGUUUGAGCCUUUCUCACUUCAACUGUUGGAUCAACAAGAUCAAACUGGCCAUAGCUCAACCCCCCUCCCCCACGUAUAAAUCUGUCUAAAAUAGCCCCCCUCCCUCUCAAAAACUCCUUCCAUUCAUCUUCUCUACGCUUGGAGAACCAGAAUCUAGCACCGUCCUCAUAGCCUUUUUGCUAUCUCCGUCAUCAGCGGCCCCUCAAAAUGCCACCAAACAGACUCAAAUCCCUCUUCCAUUACCCCUAAGCCCCGCUGAAUAUGAAGACAACACGAUUUUCCCCAGAAUUCCCACCUUUUCUCUUCAAUUCCAAACUUGAAAAUUCAAAAAAAAACCUAAGUCGUCCCUAACGCUGAUUUUCAUAUUUCCAAGGCUCGAUUUGACUCAAGACUUACGUUAGUUGAUUGUUCUCGCUCAGAAUAAUUGAUUAAUGGUAGGUUAGGCUCAUCCGAGAAUGACAAGUCUUUAACCGGCCGACCAAGUUUGUCACCUUCAUCGAUUUAUUCAGGUUAAAACCAGUACCAUUCCUUCUUCUUUUCCUUUUUUCUUGUGUCCGUCUUUCUAAUUCUCGUUUGAUUGGUGUGAAUUAAUUUUAGUUUGUUUAAAAUCAAUAUUUCUAACUAUUUGAAUGCCUGAUUAGGAUUAAAUGUUUCAUCAUAAUUUUUCCGUUUGAUUUUUAUUUUGGUCGGAUUUAUUUUGGGUUAGUCGUUAAUUUCUAACUAAUGCUUAGCUUAUUAAGGGUUUGUCAGAAUUAUUUUCAUUUAUUACAGCUCCAUUAUUCUUUGUUCUAUUCCUUCAAUUCACCCUUAGUGUAAUCUGGGUCUGAGCUUGAGCUUCAAAUGCUCAAUUGGUUGAUUUAAGUUUAGGUUGUGAGCUUUUUUUUUUUGGUCAGCACUGACCCGUUUCAAGAAAUCAGUUCAUUUUGGUUUGGGUUUUGGGUAAACUUGACCUAUGUGAAUGGACAUAAUAGAGUGUAGAGGGUUAAUUUGGGUAUUUUGAAACUAAAGAAAUAUUUUUUUGUUAGCAUAGAAGCUUCUAUAGGAUAAGGUUUGGCUGGUUGGUUAAGGGAAGAGAAUUUUCAGAUAUUUUGAAGGGUUAAAUGUGGUAAAAUAACCAUAAAUUGGAAGGUCAAAAGAGGAAAUAGUUAGGGCUGCCUUAGGCUACCUAUAUAAAGACUUCGUUGACUCAUUUCAGAGGUAGCCUUGGAUAUUCUAAAAAAUACAACAGGUUUUUUUUCUGCAUCAUUUCAACUUAAAUUGCUGAAAAUUUCUCUCUAGGUUUAUUGCUAGGAAUAGGUUAAAACAUUCAAAAGAAUUUCUGGUUCAUCUUGGUUCGAAAAUGGUCAAGAAGAAUUGAGAAAUAUUGUUAAUGUGUUGAGCUGUUGUUACUGCUUGAAGUUCUCACUCAUUUGCUUUUGUUUUAGUUUCUAGGUAUGUCAUGGCUCUUGAGUAACGUAUGAGGUGCAAAUGUGAAACCAUGUAAUUAAGUUGAAGAUUUAAUGACAAUUGCUAGUUUUUCGGUGAAUAGCUGUUUGAGCCCUUUACAAUUUGUUUAUGCUUCUAUUAAAUUAUCUUUACUAUAUAUAUUUCCUUCAUAUUACAUUUCAUCAUAAGGUUGGAUUUGGGGUGUUAGUUUGUCGUGUUGGAUGUAUUUGCAGGAAGAAAACCUCCUGUUGAGUUGUUCUUUUACAAGUAUCCAGUUUAAGAUUUGUUCAUGCUUAGGAUAAUACGCAUAAAUGGAGGAAUAUGAAUUCUAUUAGUUUGAUCUGUGAGUUUUUGCGGGAUUUUUUUCUGAAAAUGCUGCCUAUGGUUAUGGUUGAAUACUCAUCCAACUAGCUCAUUCAUUUUGUUUCUUUUAGCAAAUCUAAUUUAAGCUUUGUUUCUCCUUUCAAUCAGCCUACUGUUGCGUUAGUUUACCCUUUAUCGCCUGUAAAAUGGCUCGGCUAUUUAGCACUACCUCACUCAUGUUCAAGCAACUUGAGUUUGUAAAUUUCUUUCGAUUUGAUUUUUAGUUUAAUUUCAGGUCUAAAGGCGUUCAAAUUUAGCCUGUUGUUCACAUCUUGUUGCCUUUGACAUGAUUCAAAAAUUGGAAUGUUUGUUCAAAUGCUGGCCAAGUUGAACUUGGCAAGGGCUAUAAUGCUUGUCUUCUAUUUUCGGGCUUAGUCUAUUGCCCAAGUCUCUUCCCCUGUGUUAUUAGUACUGGGAAAGUAUAUGCUGCUUGAUUAAUUGCUUAAUUGGGCCUAAACUUGAAGUCUCUUGAAAAGAAGCUAUCUGUUGGAUUGUUGUUGGGUUUGAAGUGAACUUUCUCCUUGAUCAUUUGUUGGGUCUAAGAAUAAGCCCAAACAGGUUGAUUAUUUAAACGUUUAGGUAUCUCCUUUGUUAUCAAUUGUCAAAUUAUCCUAACCUAUCGGCUUAACUAAGUGGAUCGAGGUGUGUCAUAUCAACAAACGUAUAAUUUAUGGCCCUUGUAAGAUUAGUCAUGGCAUAUAUUUGAGGCGUGCCAUAAGCAAAUUAAAUCUUCUAUGGCCCUUACAAAUGUACAAUGUAGAUAUUAAAAAUGAACUGAGGAGUUUGCUUUAGGUGCAUUUAUUAUAUAAUUAUCACAAUUAUUACUAAAACUUGGGGCUACAUUUCAUGUGGCCCGAUUCCAAUUUCCAAGAAGGUUAAAUAGAAAGUAUCGUGAACCACGAGUGUAUUUAUGUAGCGUGGCUUGCGAUAUGUUUUAAAUAACCUUAAAUUAAUUCUUUAAAUAAAUAAAAGCGGUAUAAACAUUGAAAAAUGCACAUAGGUUUGAAAGUGUUCUAAAUAGAUAAAUAGGCCAAUAAUAACAGUUGAGCGAUUGUGCUAGAACCACGGAUCCCAGGAAUGCCUAACACCUUCUCUCGGGUUAACAGAAUACUCACCCGAAUUUCUAUGUUCGCAGACUUUAACACAGAGUCAAUUUCCUCGAUUCGAAAUUUAAAACAGGUUGCUUGGGACACCGUAAAUUAUUUCAAGUGGCAACUUUGAACAAUAAAUAAGUAAUCUCGUUUAUAUUGUCACUUAAAUUUAAUAAAACUCCCUUAUAUACCCUUCUGGUGGUGUGGAAAAGGAGGUAUGACACUUAUAACCUCAAAAAUAAUCUUGUCCUUGAAUUUAUGUCAAUUAACUUACGACAAAUCCAAUGUACAAAAGUACAAGAUAUAAUUAUUCCUAGAUUGACUUUUAUCCGAUGAUCCAAUACCCUUCCACUCGACACAAUCGUAUCUCUAAAGUCAAGGAUUCGAACCUUUUCAUACUGGUACCAAAAAGUGAUGCCUCAUCACGUGGUUAUAUUCCAUAGGCCUGCCUACUUUAUGUGAUGACCCGACAGGUCGUUUUAUGAAUUAAUGUCCCGAUCCCCUAUUAAUUGCUUCCCAUAAGUUCAUUUCUGCUAUUUUAGUUUGUCGGCACGUUUAGUAUUGAGUUUUGGAGAGUUUUUGGCAGACUUAGUCCCUAAAUGAUACCUUAGGUGUAGAAAAGUGGUCCAUAGUCAGAAAAAUGUGCAAACGACCUUGGAAUGGAAAUUUGAUGGUUCUGUUAGCUCUGUUAAGUGAUUUCAGAGUUGGAAGCGUGUUCGGAAUGUGUUUUGGAAGUCUGUAGCUCAUUUAGGCUUGAAAUGCCGAAGAUUGAAUUUUUAAAGUUUCCUGUCCAAUACAGAGUUUUUGAUCCGAGGCUCGAAAUGGAAUUCCGGAAGUUGUAAUAGCCCCGUCAUGUCAUUUGGGAUGUGUGUGCAAAGUUUUAGGUCAUUCGGACGUAUUGUGGAUAUGUUUUUGAUCGAAAGCAUGUUUCGAUAAAUUUGAAGUUCUUAGGCUCUAAUCCUUGAUUAGUUUGAGUUUCUGGCGUUGUUUUAGGUGGUUUAAGUAUUGGUGCAAGUUUGAAUGAUAUUAUUGGAUAUGUCCGUAAGUUUGGUUGAGGUCUCGGGGGCCUCAGGUGUGUUUCGGAUGCUUAGCGGGUUAUUUUCUCUUAUUUUUUAACUGCUCCUUCUACUUCUGGUAUCCCUUCUUCGCAUUCGCAAGCCUUCCCUUCGCAUUCGUGAAGGCUUAUCUUGACCACCUGGGAAUUUCCUCUUCGCGAUCACAUAACUCUUCCCGCCUUCACAAAGCCCAGCUUACUUCCUCUUUGCGAUCGCAUAAACUACCUCGCGUUCGCGUACCUGUGCUAAGUCUGGUCAUCGCGUUCGCGUAGAACAACUUCUGGAUCUCAACAUUUUCCUUCAUCGUGUCUGCGUUCUAGAUGCCGCAUUCGCGUAGCUUCGUGAUCGCAGGCCUUUGCAUUCUACCCCUCGCGAUCGCGAAGGGCAUUUUUGACACCUUCUAUUUUUCUUCUCCGUGAACGCGAUCUCAUCCCCGCGAUCGCUGAAGUAUUAAAUUUCUGGGCAGUAUUAAGUCAUUCAAAAAUGAGGUUUAGCUAUUUUUAUCAAAAUACAAGCUUGGGAGCUCAGAUUUGGGAGAAAGUUCGAAGGUUUUUCGAGAGACACGAUUGGGUAAUGAUUCUAAACUCCUUUUUGCUUAAAACCUGCUAAUCUAAUCACGAAUUUCUCUUCUAAUUUCGGAUAUUUGAAUGAAAAAUGGGUAAUACUUCAUAGACCAAAUUUUUGAGUUUUGAAUGGGUGUUUGACCUCCGAUUUGAGAGAUUUAUAUAUAGGUAGACUCGUGAGAGUAUGAGAAAAUGCUAAGUUCCACCGAUUCCGAGACAUUGUGCUAAGGAGCAUUUUGAUCAUUUUACCAAAUUUCGCGUCUUAGAUUUGACUUAAUUAGUAGAACUAUUUGCUUGAGAUGUUAUUUAUGAUAUGUAACUGAAUUGAAUAGAUUUGGACCAUUUGGAGUCAGAUACUUGUGGCAAAAGUGUGAUUUCGAGUUAAUUUUGGAGCCCAUUCGAAGUAGGUGUCUUGUCUAACCUUGUAUGUGGGACCUUCCCCUUAGGAAAUAUUAUUUGGUGAUUGACAUGCCUUGUACGUGAGGUGACCAGCGCGUACUUGAGCUAUUUCUUGAUAAUUUAAUUUUACCUUAAAUGUUUGGACUGAGUUUUCCUUCCUACCUGCUUUAUUCUACUUGCAAUUAUGCUCUAUGUUAGUUUAGAAAAGCAUGCUUAGCUGACCUAAAUUGCCUAUUUGCUUAAGUUUCUUUGAUGGUACUACGUGAAGUAUUUUAAGCUAGAACUACAUGUUACCUUGUAUUUUUGCACUCUAUUUCUGGAUAUCUUCUUGUUGUGACUGCGUAUUCUCAUUGAGAGUACGGAUGUCAGAUGCAGGUAGCUCUCCCCCUUGUUUGUUUACUUUGGGACUGCGAGUUUGAUUCCCGAUAGGACCCCCUAUACAUUUACUUUAGGUCUGCGGGUUAGAUUCUCGAUAGAUCCCCUCUGCAUAUUUACUUUGGGACUUCGGGUUAGAUUCCCGAUAGAUCCCCUGCACAUUGAUAGGUUGACUACGGAAUGGUAUCCCGGGCGAUCCUUCAAAUAUACACAUGUGAGAGACUACGGGAUGGUAUCCUGGGAGAUCCACUGGACAGUUGAAAAAAGGACUACAGGACGGUAUCCUGGGAGAUCCUCGUUGUUACCAUUGGUAUUGAGCUGUACAUUUUCAUUUUUACUCCGUUCUUUGUGUAUUUGUUAUUGCCUUGUUUAGCCUGUCUUAUUUCACUGAUGUAUUCAUUAUUACUGCCUUUUUUGAUAUCGUUAAUUCAUAUUAUAUUGUUUAACCUCAGCAGGGCCCUGACCUUCCUCGUCACUACCCGACCGAGGUUAGGCUUGGCACUUGCUGAGUACCGCUGUGGUGUACCCAUGCCUCUUCUGCACAUAUUUUUCAUGUGCAGAUCUAGAUACUCUUCUCAGGCAAAUCAUCCUUGAGGGAGGCGACUACUCAGAGACAUCAAGGUAUACAUGCCCCGUCUGCAGGCCGAGGAGUCCCUUUUCAUUCCUACUUUAUGUUAUUUUAGCUCUUCUGUAAUUUCAAAUCUUGAUAGACGAAUUCCCAUGUUAGAGCUAUGUAGUGUUUCUUGUCUUAGCUUGUGAUUCGUGGGUUUCCGGGUUUUGGGGUGUUAUUAUAGACUUCCGCGUUAUUGAGUCGUAUAUGUCGGGCGGCAUUUAUCUAUACGGUUUUUCUUCUAGUUGUUCAGUUUUAAAUGUUUAUUUCCUCAAGUUAUGUUGUUUUACGCAUUGUUAGGCUUACCUAGUAGUAGGGACUAGGUACUAUUGCGACAUGUUCAUGGAGGACGAACUGGGGUCAUGACACUUUGGAUGGUAGGAACGAAAGAGGGGGGAAGGGAAAAGCAGGGAUCCAACCAUAUAAAGAAGUACCUAUUAAAUUGAUAACAAAAUAUUAGCUACAGUACCUAUUAUCCAAAGAGGAAUUGUUCCACUAGUAUUGGCCAGUUACCUAAUUUUUCUUUAGGUUUCAUGAAGUGAUCAUGCUAGAAAAAUAAACAGUCAUAAAUAAUUAAGUUACGAGACAUUUCCUAAUGAAUUAAAAAUUUAAUUUUAAAAGUAAAAUUGGAGGGAGAAAAUAAUUUUCACAUUUUCUUUUUUGGUUUUUGUUUUAGUUCCUAUCUGUCACGACCCUAGUUCACCGAUUGUGAACAUGUCUGACGGCACCUAGUAUUCACGACCAGCUAAGCCUAACACAUAGCGGAAGUAACAUCAUUUACGAAAAUUUAAAAUCCAAAAGAGAAAUAACAUGAGUAAUUUAUAUAGUUGCCGCCUGGCACAUACACUUUAACAAUUAACAAAUCGGAAACUAUCCCAAAGACCCGAAAACCCACGGGCAACACACGCUAAGAGUAAAACAUAACAUACGACUCUAUUAUCCGGAAAUGUCUACAACAACAGAAUACAUGAAAUAGAACUGCGAACUACAAGGUAGAGUAGAAGGAGACUCUUCGGAUCUGCUGACGCGGUAGAUACAUACCUCAAGUCUCCGAGUAUAGCCCCUGGAUCACUGAUAGUGCGCUCGACCAGAGGUACCUGGAUCUGCACAUGAAAAACAUGCGCAAAAGAGGUAUAAAUACACCACAUUUGUCUCAGUAAGUGCUAAGCCUAACCUCGGUUGAGUAGUGACGAGGAAGGUGAGGGCCCUACCAAGAAUAAAGAUAACAACAGUAAUGAACACUGUAAGGAAAAACAAUAAGCAGGAAAGUAACAAUAUAAUAGGAUAGAAGUUACAUGUCAACGACAAUUAAGCUAUGCAAAGAAUAUAACACAACCAACUAUCACUCAAUAUCAGGAUGUCAUAUGGAACUCCUGGAAUUGAACCCGUAGUCCAUGUUACUAAUGUCUGAGGAUCUCCUGGAAAUUGAACCUGUAGUCCUUCAUACCAAUAUCUGAGAAUCUCCCGAGAAUUAAACCCGUAGUCCAUCAUACAAAUAUUUGAGGAUCUCCCGGGAAUUGAACUCAUAGUCCAUCAUACCAAUAUCAGAGGAUCUUCCAAGAAUUGAACUCGUAGUCCAUCAUACCAAUAUUAGAGGAUCUCCUGGGAAUUAAACCUAUAGUCCAUCAUACCAAUAGUAGAGGAUCUCCCGGGAAUCGAAGAGAAUAUAGUGCAAUUCAUCUAAAAAGAACAAGUAAGCUAACUAACAUGCUUUCCCUAAGCUUAUGCAAGUAAAAUUGCAUUUAUUACAGUUAAAUACGUGAAGAACGCAGUCUAAAUAAGUCAAGUAAGGUGAAUUUCCAACAAUUAGCACAAGCACGCACUCGUCACCUCGCACACAAGGCCUUUCUAAACAACAAUCAAGAUAUCCUAAGGGAUGAGGUUCCCCAUACAAAGUCAGACAAGCCACUUACCUCGAACCAGCACAAAAUCUCUAAGAAAUGAUGCCCUUGCCAUGAGUAUCCGACUCCGAGUGGCCCAAAUCUAUUAAAACCAAUUACAUAUUGUAAAUAACAUCACAAGUAACUAAUUCCACUAUUAAAAUUAAACCUUAGGCACAAAAAUAGGUAACAUUACCAAAAUACCCCUCAAGCCAAUGUCUCGCAAUCAAAUAAUUUUCAAAAUUUUAGAAAUCUCGUACUUUCACGAGUCUAACCAUAUAAAAAUUUCCCAAAUCAGAGGUCAAAUGCCCCUUUAAAUCCUCACAAUUAGGUCUAAGAACUUAACCCCAAUUUUCAUUCAAAAAUCCGAAAUUAAAGGUUGAAUUCACGAUUAGAUUAGUGGGUUUUAGUCAUAGAGGAAUAAGGAAUCAUUACCCAAUAAUUGCUUCUGCAAAUCCCACGAAAAAUCUCCCAGAAUCGACCUCUUUAGCUUGAGUUUUGAUAAAAAUGGAAGAACCCUCGUUUUGAAAUGUUUAUAUCUGCCCAGGUCUGUUGUCUAUUGCGAUCGCAUUGAACUGGAUGCGAUCCCGUAGAGUAAAAAUUGAAGGCCCAGAAAUUGGCCUAUGAGAACACAGACGAAGUCAUGCGAUCGCAGAGAAGGGGGAAGUGAAGCUAUGCGAUCGCGGACUGGGCUAUGCAAUCGCGGACUGGGCUAUGCGAUUGCGUAGAAGGAUUUUGGCUCUGAGGCCCAGCUCCUAAAUUCUACUAUGCGAACACAUGAAGAGGAGUGCGAUCGCGGAGAAGGAGAAGGGAGAACUAUGCAAUCGCAUACGAGGACCUGUGAUCGCAUUGAAGGAAAAUAGGCCCCUCAUCAAAUGCACUAUACGAUCGCAUGGGUGGGCUGCUAUCGCAUAGAAGAAAGGCCUGCCAUAGAACAACAGAAAAAUCUGCAACUCCUUUUCAAUACAAAAAGCCCCGUUGAGCAUCGGAAACACGCCCGAGGCCCCCGAGGCCUCAACCAAACCUAUGGACAUAUUAUAUAACAUCAUUCAAACUUGUAUCAAUUCAUAAACCACCUAAAACAACGUUAGAAACUAGAAUUGAUCAAUGAUUUGAACUUAGGAACUUCAAAAUCCAACCAAACCCGCUUUCGAUAAAAAACCUAACAAAAAAAAUUCGAUUGACCUGAAAUUUUGCACGCACGUCCCAAAUGACAUGAAAGUGCUAUAGCAACUUUCGGAAUCCCGUUUGGACCCUCGGAUAAAAAAUUCACUAUCAGACCGAAAACUUCAAAAUUCUAACUUUCGGCUUUUCUUGACUGAAUGAACUACAAACAUCCAAAAUAUAAUCCAGACACGCUCCCAUCCCUGAAAUCACCUAACGGAACUAACGAAACCAUCGGAUUUCCAUUCCGAGGUUGUCUUCACACUAUUCUGAAUACAUACAAUUUUCAAUCAUUUAAGCUCUCAUUUAGGGACUAAGUGUCCCGAAACACUCUGAAUUCUAUCACUAAACAUCCCGACAAACCAAACUAGCAGAAAUGAAAUUAGGGGAAGCAGUUAAUGGAAAAAUGGGGCAUAAAUUCCAAAGACUACUGGCCGGAUCGUCACAUCCUCCUACGCUUAAAGAUUCAUUCAUCCUCGAACUAGCAUAGAGAACAUAUCUGACGUAGCAAAAAGGUGAGGGUAUCGGCUGUGCAUAUCCCACUCGGUCUCCCAAAUCGCCUCCUUGGCCGGCUGACCCCGCCAUUAAACCUUUACUGAAGCUAUAUCCUUUGACCUGAGCUUUCGGACCUGCCUGUCUAAUUUGCCAUUGGCUCCUCAACAUAGGACAAGUCAUUGUCCAACUGGCCUGAAGUGAAAUCCAACACGUGAGACGGGUCACCGUGAUAUUUCCAAAGCAUCGAGACAUGAAAUACCGGAUGAACCCUGGCCAAACUGGGAGGUAUAGCAAGCUCAUAAGCAACCUCCCCAACACGCUACAAAAUAUCAAAUGUGCCAAUGAACCUCGGACUCAACUUUCCUUUCUUUCCAAACCUCAUGACGCCUUUCAUAGGCGAGACCCAAAGCAAAACCCGCUCACCAACCAUAAGGGAAACAUCACAAACCUUCCGGUCCGCAUAACUCUUCUGUCUGGAAUGGCCGCAUAGAGUCUAUCCUGAAUCACCUUAACCUUCUCGACUGCAUCCUGAACCAAAUCAGUACCUAAUAGUCUGGCCUCACCUGGCUCGAACCAACCCACCGGGGAUCUGCAUCUCCUACCAUCUAAGGCCUCAUAUGACGCCAUCUGAAUACUGACUAAUAACUUAUGUUGUAUGCAAACUCAGUCAAUGGCAAGAACUGAUCCCAAGACCCUCUAAACUUAAUCACGCACGCAUGGAGCAUAUCCUCAAGAAUCUGAAUAGUGUGCUCGGACUGUCCAUCCGUUUGAGGGUGAAAAGCUUUACUCAUAGUCACCCGGGUACCCAACUCGUGCUGGGAUGCCCUCCAGAACCGUGAUGUAAACACUGAACCCCUAUGUGAGAUGAUAGAAACUGGAAUGCCGUGCAGACGGAAAAUCUCCCUGAUAUAGAUCCCCGCUAACCACUCCGCUGAAUAAGAAGUAUACACUGGAAUGAAAUGAGCGGACUUGGUCAGCCGAUCCACAACAACCCAAAUAGAAUCAAACUUCCUCACCGUUAGAGGAAGGCCAGUCACAAAAUUCAUAGUGAUAUUCUCCCAUUUCCACUCCGGAAUCUCCAUAUGCUGGAGUAACCCUCCCGGUCUCUAGUGCUUAGCCUUUACCUGCUGACAGUUGAGGCAUCUAGCUACAAAUUCUACUAUGUCCUUCUUCAUCCGCCUCCACCAGUAAUUACCUUUACCUGCUGAUAGUUGAGGCAUCUAGCUACAAACGCUGCUAUGUCCUUCUUCAUCUGCCUCCACCAGUAAUGCUGCCUCAGAUCCUGAUACAUCUUCACGACUCCCAAAUAUCAUCAACAUCGGUACACAUAUCCGACCCUGCAUCCUCAAUACCCCAUCAUCUCCAAUAGUUACAUCCCUAGCAUCGCCAUGCUAAACUAUGUCCCUGAGAACAAGCAAAUGAGGGUCACCAUACUGUCGCUCCCUGAUACAAUCAAAUAAUAAAGACCGAGAAACCACACAGGCUAAAACCCAACAAGGCUCCGAAAGGUCCAAUCUCCCAAACUGACUGGGUAAAGCUUGAACAUCCAUCGCCAUAGGUCUCUCUGAAGCUGGUAAAUAUGCCAAACUCCCUAAACUCUCCGCCCAGCGACUCAAGGCAUUAGCUACAACAUUGGCCUUGCCCGGGUGAUAUAAAAUAGUGAUAUCAUAAUCCUUCAGUAACUCCAACCAUCUCCUCGGGCGCAAGUUCAGAUCCUUCUGCUUGAACAAGUGUUGUAAACUUUGAUAAUCCAUAUAAAUUUCACAAGGAACGCCAUACAAUUAGUGACGCCAAAUCUUCAAGGCAUGAAAAAUAGCAGCUAACUUAAGGUCAUGGACAGGGUAGUACUUUUCAUGUACCUUCAACUGCCUGGACGUAUAAGCAAUCACCCUACCGUACUGCAUCAACACUGCUCCAAGUCCGACUCGUGAGGCAUCACUAUAAACUGUAUAGGACCAUGAACCAGUAGGCAAAAUAAGAAUAGGGGCUCAAGUCAAAGUCGUCUUGAGCUUCUGAAAGCUCGCCUCACACUCGUCUGUCCACUGAAAGGGAGUACCCUUCUGGGUCAAUCUAGUCAUAGGGGCUACAAUUGAUGAGAACCCUUCCACCAAACGACGGUAAUACCCCACAAGGCCAAGGAAACUACAGAUCUCAGUAGCCUAGGAGUGCUUGGGCCAACUUUGCACGGCCUCCACCUUCUUCGAAUCUAUUCGAAUGCCAUCACUCAAUACUCAACAAAAACUCACAUUUUGAGAAAUUUGCAUAUAAUUUAUUUUCUCUUAGAGUCUAAAGCACUGUCCUCAGGUGCUGCUCAUGAUCUUCCCUACUCUGGGAAUAUAUAAGAAUAUCAUCUAUGAAAAUAAUGACGAACGAGUCAAGAUAGGUCUUGAACACACUGUGCAUCAGAUGCAUGUAAGCUAUUGGGGCGUUGAUCAGCCCAAAUGACAUGACAAGGAAUUCGUAAUGACCAUACCGAGUCCUGCAAGCAGUCUUCGUGAUAUCUGGCUCCCGAAUCUUUAACUAGUGAUAACCUGAGCGCAAAUCAAUCUUAGAAAACACCUGUGCGCCCUGAAGUUGGUCAAAUAGAUCAUCAAUACGAGGCAAAGGAUAUCAGUUCUUCACUGUAUCUUUGUUCAAAUGAUGUGCAUAGAACCAUCCUUUUUCUUUACAAACAAGACAUGAGCACCCCAUGGUAAAACACUAGGUCAAAUAAAACCCUUAUCAAGCAAUUCCUGUAACUUCUUCAACUUAGGAGGAGUCAUAUGGUAAGGAGGAAGAGAUGGUCUGAGUGUCCGGCAACAAAUCAAUACAAAAAUCAAUGUUCCAAUCAAGAAGCAUGCCCGGAAGUUCAAAUGGAAACACAUUAGGGAAACUUCGUACUACUGGGACAGAGUCAACAGAAGGGGUAUCAGCACUGACAUUUCUCCCAUAAGCUAAAUACGGAGUGCACCCCUUCUCAAUCAUACGAUGACCUUUAAAAAAAGAAAUAACCGUGCUGGGAGUGUGAUCAAAAGUACCACUUCACUCAAUACGUGGAGUACCUGGCAUAGCCAGCGUCACGGUCUUAGCAUGACAAUCAAGAAUAGCAUACAAGGGCGAAAACCAGCCCAUGUCCAAGAUAAUAUCGAAAGAAACCAUAUCAUGUAAUAAAAGAUCUUCCCUGGUCUCUAAACCACAAAUAGUAACCAAAGAUGACCGAUAUACGCGGUCCACAACAAGGGAAUCUCCUAGGGGAGUAGAAACAUAAACAGGGGAGCUUAAGGUCUCUCAGGCUGUACCCAAAUGCAGAGCAAAAUAAUAUUACACGUAAGAAUAAGUAGAGCCUGGAUCGAAUAGAACCGAUGCCUCUCUGUGACUGACCAAUAUAAUACCUAUGAUGAUAGAAUCGGAGGCGACAGCCGCAGCACAAUCAGGAAUAGCAUAAAACCGGGCCCGGCCCCUCCCUCGAGGGCGACCUCUAUCUCCCCGAUCCCCGCCCCUGGCUGGCUGGGUAGGUGGAGUAGUAGCUGGAGCUGGAACAAUUGCCUGCUGCCCCUCUGGAGCAUGCUAAAGCUGUGGAGUCUAAGAACGAACAACCCUACCACGUCUGGGGCAUUCUCUAACCAGGUGGCGGAUAUCCCCGCACUCCUAACAAGCUCUGGGAUGGCAAGGUGGCUAUGACUGACUGGGCCCACCCCCACUAGACUGAACUCUGGGAGUACCCCGCGCAGGAGGUGCACUAGAAACUGAAGGUGCAUAAUGAGGCUCUUGAGAUCUGGGAGGAGCUGGAGUACUGUUGGAUGAAGGAAGAGCUGAGUGAACUGGGCGACCCAUAUACCCCUACCAUUACACUCUGCUGCUAGGGUAUGGGUACCAGAGUAGUGACCCAACUCUCGAGACCUCUUGGCCUCUCUCUCCUCUCGUUCUCUGGCGUGCAAACCCUUGAUCCUCUUAGCAAUGCUCACUGCCUGCUGAUAAGGAAUAUCCACCUCCAACUCUCGAGCCAUGCUAGAUUUGAUGGAUGGAAUAAGACCCUCAAUAAAUCAGCGAACCCUCUCGCGGACAGUAGCAACCAAGGCGGUUGCAUGUUUGGCCAACCUAGUAUAACAGAUGGCGUACUCUAAAACGGUCAUAGCACCCUGGCGCAAAUGCUCAAACUCUGCGCCAUGCGUCUCUGAGCCACUGCGGAACAAACUCCAUCUAAAACAUUAACUACUGUGACGCCCUACUCUCGAAGUAUGGGUACCAGAGAAAUGAAUAGACUCUCCAGACCUCUUGGCCUCUUCCUAUCCUCUCUCUCUCUGGCAUGCAUACCCUCUAUCCUCCUAGCAAUGCUCACUACCUGAUGAUAUGGUAUAUACAUCUCUUACUCUCACGCCAUGCCAAACCUGAUGAAAGGAAUAAGACCCUCUAUAAACCAGCUAACCCUCUCACGAACAGUAGCCACCAAAGCCGGCGCAUGCCUGGCCAACCUAGUAUAGUGGAUAGCAUACUCAGAGACAUUCAUAGGGCCCUGGUGCAAAUGCUCAAACUCCGCGUGCCAUGCAUCUACUAGCCUCUAGGAAACAAACUCCCUCUGAAACAUAUCGAAAACCAAGCCCAAGUUAGGGAGACAGCCUCGCCCAAACUGUCUAACUUAUGUGCGCAACCAGUCAUAGGUGGCUUCCCGAAGUUGGAAAACCGCAAAAGAAACCUCACUAGAGGCAGUAAUACUCAAGGUGCGAAAGAUGCGAUGACAAUCCUCCAAAAACCCCAAAUCAUCUUCUGUAGCUAGCCCGCUGAAAAUAGGGGGUUAUACUUCUUGAACCUCUCCAAUCUAUGCUGCUCAUCCUCGGGCUGAAUCGUUACUGUAGGCUGGGCAUGGAUAAUACUUGGAAUCUGUCCCAUAUGCACCCUCUUCUCUGGAGUGCGGGCUGCGGGAGUCUGGGCUCCUCCCCCCGCCUGGGACGUGGCUGCAAGAAGGGGAAGCAAUCCUGCCUAUAACACCGUAGUAUACAUACUCAUAAAAUGCACCAAUGCCUCCUGGACAGCUGGAGUAGUGAUGUCUAUGCGCGUUUCAGGUGCCUGAGUCCUGACUAGAUCCGCUGGUGGUACCUCGGCGGCCACUCGUGUAGGAGCUCUGGCCGUACCGUGCGCGCGUACACGACCCCUGCCCCAGCCCCUGUCUUUAGCGGCUGCAGGAGGGGGUGUGGGUGCCUGAUUUCCCUGGGUCAUGCGUGUCCUCGCAAUCUGUAAGAGAAUAGAAGACAGAAGUUUAGAGUCCACGUCAAAAAUACAGCACGACAAGAAUUCAAUGAAGUGAAGAUUUUCCCUAAACAGUUACAUAGCCUCUCGUGGAUAGGUACUUACGUCUCCGUACCGAUCAGCGAGACUCUAAAUAACCGGCCUAUGUCCCAUGAAGCCUAUGAACCUAGAGCUCUGAUACCAACUUGUCACGACCCUAGUUCACCGAUUGUAAACAUGUCAUGACGGCACCUAGUCUUCAUGACCAGGUAAGCCUAACACAUAGCGGAAGUAACAGCAUUUACGAAAAUUUAAAAUCCAAAAGCGAAAUAACAUGAGUAAUGUAUAUAGUUGUUUUCUGGCAUAUACACUUUAACACUUAACAAAUCUGAAACUAUCCCAAAGAGCCAGAAACCCACGGGCAACACAGGCUAAGAGUAAAACAUAACAUACGGUUCUUAUUCGAAAAUGUCUACAACAACUAAAUACAUGAAAUGAAACUGCUAACUACAAGGUAGAAUAGAAGGAGACUCUUUGGAACUACGGACACGGCAGAUGCAUACCUCAAGUCUCCGAGUAUAGCCCUGGAUCACUGAUAGUGCGCUCGACCAGAAGUACCUGGAUCUGCACAUGAAAAACAUGCGUAGAAGAGGUAUGAGUGCACCACAAAGGUAAUUAGUAAGUGCCAAGCCUAACUUCGUUUGAGUGGUGACGAGGAAGGUCAGGGCCCUACCGAGAAUGAACAUAACAACAGUAAUGAACAAUGUAAGGCAAAAAAAAAGCAAGCAGGAAAGCAACAAUAAAACAGGAUAGAAGCUGCAAGUCAACGACAAUUAAGCUACGUAAAGAAAAUAACACAACAAAGUAUCACUCAAUAUUAGGAUGUCAUAUGGAACUCCGGGAAUUGAACCUGUAGUCCAUGUUACCAAGGUCUUAGGAUAUCCCGAGAAUUGAACUUGUAGUCCUUCAUAUCAAUAUCUAAGGAUCUCCCUGGAAUUGAACCCGUAGUCCAUCAUACUAAUAUAAAGGAUCUCCCGGGAAUUGAACCCGUAUUCCAUCAUACCAAUAUUAGAUGAUCUCCCAGGAAUUGAACCCGUAGUCCAUCAUACCAAUACUAGAGGAUCUCCUGGGAAUCGAACCUGUAGUACAAAUCGCAAACACAUCACACCAAUUAAAAAAUGUACAAAUACCAAGUAAAGACAACAGGUAGAAUCCAAAGUCUAACAUGAUUCACGAUGAGCAAAUAUUGCAAUUCAUCCGAAAAGAACAAGUAAGCUAACUAACAUGUUUUCCCUAAGCUAAAACAAGUAAAAUUGCAUUUAUAACAGUUAAAUACGUGAAGAACGCAGUCUAAAUAAGUCAAGUAAUGUAAAUUUCCAAUAAUUACCACAAGUACAUGCUCGUCACUAGUACACAAAGCCUUUCUAAACAACAGUCAAGAUAUCCUAAGGGAGGAGGUCCCCCACACAAAGUGGGACAAGCAACUUACCUCGAACCAGCACAAAAUCGCUAAGAGACGGUGCCCUUGCCACGAGUAUCCAAAUACGAGUGGCCCAAAUCUAUUCAAACCAAUUACAUAUUGAAAAUAACAUUACAAAUAACGAAUUCCACUAUUAAAAUUAAAGCUAAGGCGCAAAAAUAGGUAAAAUGACAAAAAUACCCCUCAGACCAACGUCUCGGAAUCAGAUAAUUUUUAUAUUUUUAGAAACCCCGUACUCUCACGAGUCUAACCAUAUAUAAAUCUCCCAAAUCGGAGGUCAAAUGUCCCUUCAAAUCCUCAAAAUUAUAUCUAAGAACUUUACCCCAAUGUUCAUACAAAAAUCCGAAAUUAAAGGUUGAAUUCACGAUUAGAUUAGUGGGGUAUAGUCAAAAAGGAGUAAGAAAUCAUUACCCAAUCACUGCCUCUGAAAAGCUCUCGAAAAAUCUCCCAAAACCGAGCUCUCUAGCUUGAGUUUUGAUAAAAAUGGAAGAACCCUCCUUUUGAAAUGUUUAUACCUGCCCAGGUCUGUCGUUCAUUGCGAUCGCAUGGAACCGGAUGCCAUCGCGUAGAGUAAAAAUUGAAGGCCCAGAAAUUGGCCUAUGCGAACGCAGAGGAAGUCAUGCGAUUGAAGAAAAGGGGGAGAUGAAGCUAUGCAAUCGGGGACUGGGUUAUGCGAUGGCGUAGAAAGAUUUUGGCCUUGAGGCCCAGCUCCUAAAUUCUACUAUGCAAAUGCAUGAAAAGGAGUGCGAUCGCGGAGAAGGAGAAGGGAGAACUAUGCGAUCCUAUACAAGGACCUGCGAUCCCAUUGAAGGAAAAUAGGCCCCCCACCAAAUGCACUAUGCGAUCGCAUGGGUGGCUGCGAUUGCAUAGACGAAACAGAAAAAUCUGCAACUCCUUUUCAAUACAAAAAGCCCCGUUGGGCAUCCGCAAUACACAUGAGGCCCCCGGGACCUCAAUAAAAUCUACGGACAUAUCACAUAACAUCAUACAAACUUGUACCAAUCCUUAAACCACCUAAAAAAAUGCCGGAAACUAGAAUUAAUCAAUGAUUUGAAAUUAGGAACUUCAAAUUCCAACCCAACUCGCUUUCGAUCAAAAACCUAACCAAAGCACCUCCAAUUGACCUGAAAUUUUGGACGCACGUCCCAAAUGACAUGACGGUGCUACAACAACUUCUGGAAUCCCGUUCUGACCCUCAUAUAAAAAAUUGACUAUCGGACCAGAAACUUUAAAAUUCUAAGUUUCGACAUUUCUAGCCUAAAUGAGCUACAGACAUCCAAAAUACAUUCUGAACACGCUCCCAACCACGAAAUCACCUAACGGAGCUAACGAAACCAUCAGAUUUUCAUUCCGAGGUUGUCUUCAUACUGUUUUGAUUACGGACUAUUUUCCAACGCUUAAGCUCUCAUUUAGGGACUAAGUGUCUCGAAACACUCCGAAUUCUAUUACCGAACGUCCCGACAAACCAAAAUACCAUAAAUGAACUUAGGGGAAGCUAUUAAUGAGAAAACGCGAGCCAAAGACGACCGGCCGGGUCGUUACACUAUCAAAGGAUGAAAAGUUGACCAUCUAUAUAAAGUUGAAUCUGUGGUAAGAGGUUGGUUUUGGGGGGGGGGGCAUUGUUUGAUGAGGUAGAAAUUGCACGGGCAACCUAAUUGGUCGCCCCCAUCUUAAAAUAUACCUAUUUUUCUAAAAAAAUUUAACUUAAACCCACUUUUUAAAAAACUUCAACUCCCUUUUUUCCUUGCAUCUCCAUUUUAGAUUCUACUUAUUUUACUUUCCUUCUCCCUUCUGCUAUCGUUUUUUCUUCUCCAAUUUAUCACCAACAGCUUAUGCAAGCAUUCGUCGAACUUUUUUUUGCUCUACCGCUAGCCAAAACAAAAAAAUAGAAUACUCAACAAACACGACGAAAUUUUAAAGUGGGGUAACAUUCAAUCAAUGUUUAUCCAAUACCCAAGAAAGAACGCGGGCAUUGUUUGAAGAUGUAGAAAUUGCACGGGGUAUCCUUAUUGUUCGCCCCCACUUAAUAUAUACCUAUUUUUUUAAAAAAAUUUAUCUUAUACCCACUUUUAAAAAAACUUCAAAUCCCUCUUUUCCUUGCAUCUCCAUUUUAGAUUCUACUUAUUUUUACUUUCCUUCUCCCUUCUGCUAUCGUUUUUUCUUCUCCAAUUUAUCACCAACAGCUUAUGCAAGCAUUCGUCGAACUUUUUUUUGCUCUACCGCUAGCCAAAACAAAAAAAUAGAAUACUCAACAAACACGACGAAAUUUUAAAGGGGGGUAACAUUCAAUCAAUGUUUAUCCAAUACCCAAGAAAGAACGCGGGCAUUGUUUGAAGAUGUAGAAAUUGCACGGGGUAUCCUUAUUGGUCGCCCCCACUUAAUAUAUACCUAUUUUUCUAAAAAAAUUUAACUUAUACCCACUUUUUAAAAAACUUCAAAUCCCUUUUUCCUUGCAUCUCCAUUUUAGAUUCUACUUAUUUUACUUUCCUUAUCCCUUCUGCUAUCGUUUUUUCUUCUCCAAUUUAUCACCAACAGCUUAUGCAAGCAUUCGUCGAACUUUUUUUUGCUCUACCGCUAGCCAAAACAAAAAAAUAGAAUACUCAACAAACACGACGAAAUUUUAAAGUGGGGUAACAUUGAAUCAAUGUUUAUCCAAUACCCAAGAAAGAACGCCACUAAGAUGCCUUAAUUUAAUAUAUACACACACGCACAAAGAGAAGGAGAGUGCUGAUCAGUGCAAGUAAAGAUACAAAACCAUGAAGAAGGAUGCAAGAAAACUGAUUAAUCCAAAUAAAAAAUAGUAACUUUAAUGAACUAAAUAACUUCAGUUAUGUAGACGAAUAUUUUUGGUUACAAAGAUAAAAAAUUCAACUCUAGAACUGAAGUUUUUCAGUACAAAAGAAAAACUCCAGCGCUGAAGUUUUUCAGUUACAAAAGAAAAACUUCAACUCUAGAGCUAUAGUUCGCCAGCUAUAAAAUAAAAACUUCACCUCUAGAGCUGAACUUUAUGCCCGGAUACUAAAAUGUUGAAGUUUUGCGUGAUUGUCUUUGCUACUUCAGCCUCAUGUGCUGAAGUUAUGUAAAAAGGCGGGUACGCUUGUAAUUUUUUUUUGCAAAGUGAACACAAGUUAAAAUAUGACACAAAAACAGGUAUAGAGCAAAUGCCCCUUUGAAAAGCUACUCUAUUUUUAUAAUGUUGGACUUUUUACUGAGAAGUAAAGUUUUAUAAUAAACAAAAGUGUAAUAUCUAUCUUGCAUACUUCCAUCGCCUUAAUUUUUUUAAAUCAUUCUAGGUAUUUUCACUUUUAUAUAAUCUGAUUGAUUUGUUAUAGCAAAUUAAAUUACAUGGAUUUGAUAGAAAUAAUAAAAUUAAACACAAAGACAAUAUUACAAUUGAUGAUUUCUAUAUCAGAAAGAAAAAUCCAAUUAAGAAAAUGUGAUUUAUUAUAUUAGAAUUGUUUUGGUUUUUACGAAGUAUUAAUUUUUUAGAAUUGAGAAAUGCCAAGAUCGGAAUGGUUUGCUUAGUUAUCCUAAUGUUGGAGGAUUGGAGACAACUUAAUUCUUUAUGACUCACCAUAAUUUUAUAUCUAUUGACCAGUGCAUCCGGAGGCGACACGGCCAAAAAUUCUCAAACGACAUUCUAUUAUUAUUUACGUAUUUUUUCGGUUAAGGGUCAAAUAUAUCCUUUUACUAUUAAAAAUAAGGCAUAUUUAUUUUCCGUUUGAAUUUUUUAUCAAAUAUGUCCUCAACGUUAUUCAUUAGGGCCAUAUAUAUCCCUCAGCCGUUAAAAUUUGCCUCAAGAUUUUUUUUAGCACGUGGCAUGUUCUGAUUGGACCAAAUGACCCGCCCAUUCGAUUAAUUAAACCCGCCCGGACCCAGCGUAUUAAACCCGCCCCGACCCAGCGUAUUAAACACUUUGCACCAUGGAAACAGACGCGGCCAAGCUCCGCCCUCACUUCCUUCAUGUUCUUCGUAGCCAUCGUCCUUCUCAUGGUAUUCUUUUUACUGUUCUUUUAAAAAUUAUCUUGUUAACGAAUGGAUUCAACGUCAAGUUGAACUUUUCUGCUAAAUUGAAUGUCAAAUUUUAAACUAACUUUUCACCCCUUACUUUCAUAUUUACUUCUAUUAUCAUAAAUAUUUAAGGGUCAACUAGACAUCUUAUACUCUCUGCUAAAUUGAAUGUCAAAUUUUAAACAAACUUUUCACCCCUUACUUUCAUAUUUACUUCUAUUAUCAUAAAUAUUUAAGGGUCAACUAGACAUCUUAUACUCAAAAUUUAGUCAUAUGCUGGGAUGUAAGGAGUAAAUGUUAUUAUUAAUGUAUUAAACUUGAAUUUGUGGUUUGAUUUGUAACUGAACUGGAAAAUUAUUUAUAGCUAGCAUUAUGAAAGGGAAUAUCAGAAUGCAACAGAAAAGCAUAGCAGUUGACUGAUCCGGGGGGNNNNNNNNNNNNNNNNNNNNNNNGGGGGGGGGGGGGGGGGGGGGGGGGGAAUAUUAUUUUUUAGUAAAAGGCUGAUCUGAAUCUAAUUAGACCGUCACAAUUCUAUAAGAUAAAUAAAGCUUGGAUUCAUUGGGUAAAUAAAAUUGUGAGAGUGGUGGAAAGGUUUAUUCUAAUCUUUUUUGGGGGAUGAGAGGAUAAAGAAAGUAGAAUUGACUGUCAAGAAUGAGAAGAUGGAAGGAAGAUAUUUGUAGUUUAGUUGGCAGGAUGAACAGAGCUGGAAUACCACUGAAAUCAUACGGGACCGGAACUUUCAGCGGUGCCGGAAAAAGGUAUUUAAUACGCUGGGUCGGGGCGGGUUUAAUAUGCUGGGUCGGCGGAUUUAAUUAAUUGAAUUGGCGGGUUAUCUGGUCCAAUCAGAACAUGAUACGUGUUAAAAAAAAAUGGAGGUAAAUAUUAACGGCGGGGGAUAUAUAUGGCCCUAAUGAAUAACGGUGGUGACAUAUUUGAUAAAAAUUCAAACAGAUGAUAAAUAUGACAUAUUUUUAAUUGUAUAAAGAUAUAUUUGACCCUUAAUCAUAUUCUUUUUGGUAAAUACUAAAAGUUCUUAUAAGGUAUGAGCCACGUUUUUAUAUAUCAAAAUUGGUCAAAAACUAUGAAUUAAUUCUCAAGUUCGAAUUAUGACUUUUCAGCAAAUAAUAAGCAUAUUUUUACUAUUUUGAUUUUCACAUUUAUUUUUUGUAUCUUGAUUCUUCUAUUACCUUGUCCCUCCCCUACCCCCGCCCCAAAAAAACCUCAUCUCGUCCUCCUUUCCUAUUGUUUUAAUCAUUUUGGCAUAAAAAGUAGUUUCUUUUAAUACUUCUAUCUAAUAACAUAAAUAAUAAUCUCUUCAGUCUGCUUUAAUUGACUGUUUAGUCUUUUUGUGGUUCAUAAUAUUUAAUUUUUUUCAGAUAUUAAGAAGAAAUUAAUUUUUUUUAAAAAUUUAUCCUUGAAGUAAAGAGUCUUGGAAUAUAUAUUAUAUUUAUUGAACAAAUUAAUGAGAUGGUAAAUAUUAAUUUAGUCAAUUUAAUUUUUAUUUAAUAUUAAAAGGUAAAUUUUUUAGUAUGUAUGAAAAUAUCCAAAAAUAAAUAAAUUAAAGUUGUCCGGAGGGAGUAGUAUUUAUUAUGAACAAUUUAGGUAAAAACUCAUUGAGCUUAAAACCAUUAUCCUUUCCUAUCCAUUUGAAAACUAUUUAUAUUAUAUACCUACUAAAUUAAAACUAAUUACCCCUACGCGUCCAUCCAAAUUUUUUUUUCUCAUAUGGCUUAGUUUAGCUUGAUUUGGCAUGACUUUAUUUGGCUUUGGCUUGAUUUGGCUUGAUUUCGUUGUGGCUCGGCUUGAUUUGGCUUGAUAUGACUUGAAUUGGCUUAUCGUAUUUUUCUUUUACAGGUCCCUUAAAAAAUAUUAAUUAGGAAAGUGAUUUGAUUCUACCCUUAUUUAUGUCUUAAGAUAUAAUCUCUCUUCAUUAAAUAUUUAUUCUAUUUAUGUAUUAUCUCCAUUUUCAAGAACAAAUAUUACAAAGGGUAAAAGAGAAAAAAAAAUUAAUUUUAUCUUGAAUUUCUAAAAUGAUAAAUAAUUUAAAAUUAAUAUUUUUAGUUAUCACGACUGUUAAUAUGAGACGAAGAAAUAGUAACUUAAUUUGAUUUCAUUUGGCUGGAUAUAUAUAUAUAUAUAUAUAUAUAUUUUUAAAAGGUAGGCCGUAGGGGAGAAAAGUGAUGGGCAGGGUCGGGUAAAUAUUCCCUGCAUUUAUAUUUGCUAAACUUCCCCAUUUAUUUGUUAUAUUAAUUUCAACACUUGAUGUUUGUUAACUAGUUGAUAUUUAUGUAUCUCUUUUGAAUUAAUUAAGUUCAAAAAUUCUAUUUGUGGAGUAUUCAUUGUAGUAAACUCCAUAAUAAUUGGAAUUAUACAAAAAGAAAGGAGAAAAAAAGAAAGAAAAGGCAUGUGGCAAUUUGUUUGCAUUCAUUCCCACAACAUAGAGCUAUUCUUUUUUUUCGUUAACCCUCCAUACUCUUCAUUAUUUGAAAUACAACUCGUUAAUAAUAAAAUUAGACUCAAGAUUUUUUAAUCGUCCAAUCCACGGAAACUUAGGCCACCACCAAUACCUUGUCCACCACCAAAAUCUAUAUCGCCGAUUUGACCCCCGAUGCCUCCUCCGCCGCCUCCUCCGAUGGAGACUGAUCCAUCUCUGCCAAUGCUUCCGCCUAUCCCAAUACCUCCACCGCCGCCAAUAGACCCAACUCCUGGUACAGUUAUUGAACCCCCACCACCAAUACCUCCUCCAAUGUCUAUACCGUCAGGACCAACAUGUGCUCCUCCGCCGCCACCGCCGCCAAAUCCGCCUGUAACUUGUGGAAUAUUAUCGGGAAAACCUAAUCCGAUAAGCUUUCGAGCAGAAGUUGUAUAUAUUAGAGUUCCCAAAAUCAACAAAAUUAUGAAAUUUGAAGCCAUCUUGGGACGCGUUACUAUAAAUUGUAAGAAUUAACUCUUUUGUGAGCUAAAGAAGAUCCUUCGUUCUAAAUUGAGUGAUCAACUUAGCUCCAUACAGUUGUAGGUUUAACACAUUAUUUUUAUGAACAUGCUGCAGUAAUGACCAAGUAUGGAGAAAUAUAUUGUACAGUACUGAAUUUAUAAUAAAAUGAGUUCAAUUUAUGGAUGUAUCGAGUAUGCAACUGCAGAUUAAAAGAAGAUGAAACGGUAAAUUUUCACCAUUAAUUGCAUCUGUCAUAAAUACUAGAGAUUUUGCAUUAAACGUUGAUGUAACAGAUAACUUUAUUAUAAGAAUGCAUUAAUGAAUAAUGGCAUUCUAUUUGUAGCACGUUUCAGAUUCGAGUUUCUACAAGUCACUCAUUUUACAUGCUUGGAGUUCAAAAAAUUGAAAACAAAUUACAAGAAUCUGAUCUGAUAGAAGAAUAUAACUGCUAAAAUUCCGGCAAAAAGUGACCAAAAUUUAGCGAUCAAAUUUAGUUUGUCAAGAAAAGCGAUCAAAUUUUAUCGCCAAACUGCCUAAAAUAAUAAAAAAACUAUUAAAAAAAAACAUAUGUGCUUACGCUAUACUAUGUACGAAGAAUAAGUGUAUUAGGUAAUACUAUAUCGAAUAUAGCACAUAUAUAUAAUAUAUUGUGACGAACCGACCUGUCGUGUCACGACCCGGAUUUACCCACCAUCGGGAGUCGUGAUGGAGCCUACUGUCGAAGCUCGGCAAGCCAACCCCUUUUUAAUCAUUUUCACAAUAACUUUAAUCUAAAGCAAAUUAAAUACUAAUAUAAUUAAUUAAAAUACGCGGAAGACUUUUAACAAUACUAGAAAUGACAAAAUGCGGAAAUUAACAACAUGGCUCUACCAAGUUUCUGGUGUCACUACUCACGGACGACUAAAAGAGUACUAAAAAUAAUAGUCUGAAAGAAUACAUCACAUGUCUGUUUGAUACAAGGAAAACAAAUGUUUUCUAGAAGAGAUAGAGGAGACUCGGGGCCCGGGAACGCUUGCGAACUACCUCGGGAUCACACCUAACUAUUGCUGCAGUCUGUAGUCUGUUUUCUGACAUGUGCACAAAAAUGGCACAGAAGCGUAGUAUCAGCACAACCGACCCCAUGUGCUGGUAAGUGCGUGGCGUAACCUCGGCAAGGUAGUGAGAGGAUAAACCUGGCCUACCACAAGCAACCUGUACAGAUAUAUGUGUAAUAACAAAAAAAGAACAACAAUUUAAACAGAUAAUGGGGAGGGUACAUGCUGGGGGAGUAACAGUUCAAUUAUAACUUCAACAAACAAGAAAUGGAACUGAAUAUAUAAUAAUUAACUAAAGGAAGCCAGUGAAUCAAAAACUACACGGCAUCUAAGGUCAAUAACAAUAAUCAAUACAAGUUGUGGUAGGCGUAGCACUCGCUCCCGAUCAUGACAUAUCGUGGACGGCGUGCCACACGAUCAAAAUCAUAUUAUCUCGUGGUCGGCGUGCCACACGAUACCUAUUAUAUUAUCUCGUGGUCGGCGUGCCACACGAUCCCAAUCAUAUUAUCUCAUGUUCGGCGUGCCACACGAUCCCAAUCAUAUUAUCUCAUAGUCGCCGUGCCACACGAUCCCAAUAAUAUUAUCUCGUGGUCGGCGUGCCACACGAUCCCAAUUAUAUAAUAUAUAAGUGGACGGCGUGGCACAUGAUCCCAUAAUGUAAUAUAAUUGAAUAACUCUAUCAAUCUCUCCACAGAAGAUCCCGUUAGGGAAGGUCAUCAAUAUAACAGUUAAACCCGGCAAGGGUACACCUAAUAGCCCAAAAUAUCCCGGCAAGGGAAGAAUAACUCUACAAUAAGUCCCAGCACAUGAAUAUAACAGUUAAACCCAUCAAGAGUACAGCUAACAAUCCAAAAUAUACCGGCAAGGGAAGAACAACUCUACAAUAAGUCCCGGCAAGGGAAAACGAUUCAACAACAAAUUACGGCAAGGGAAAAAUACCAAAAUUCCUUCCUUAGCUGAUUUGCUUCUCAACUAUCAUUUCAUAGUUCAUUUAAUAAGUAUUUACCACAAUUGUUCAAUUCUUGCGACAAUUUAAUAACAAUUAUGACUCACAAUCAUGCUAGACUCGGGCGCAUAGGUAACUGUCACCAUACAUAUACACCGACUCUAUAUAUCACAUAGCAAAUAUUAUCCUAAUCCUAUUCCUUCAAGCCAAAGUUAUAUCAAACACUAACCUCAAAAGCUUCCAACUCAAUUCACGCUUCUAGAAUACCUUUACCCCUCGAAUUCGCCUCAAAACCGGUCGAAUCUAACCACAAUUUACUCAAAGGUAUAAACAAAUGCUAGUUAAAUAAAUUUGAAUGCAUAAUAAUGAAAUUCCCAAGUUUUACCCAAAAAUUCCCAAAAUUUCCCGGGCCCACGCGCUCAAAACUCGAGGUUCGAACAAAAACCGGGUUACCCAUUCCCCCACGAGUUCAUACAUGCAAUUUGUUUUGAAAUCGGACCCCAAAUUGAUGUCCAAAUCCCCAAUUAUUGAAAAACCUAAAUUCUACACAAAUCUCCAUUUUUAACCAUGAAAGCUUUGAUUUAAAGAUGAAAUCAAGUUAGAAUAAUUUUAUCAAAACCUAGGUUCUAUCCCAAAUACCCAUUUUUACCCAUUGAAAGCUUUGAUUUUAAGAUGAAAUCAUGUUAGAAGAUGUUAAAGAUUGGAGAAAUUGAGUACAAUUUUACUUACAAGUGAUUUGGGUGAGAAAGAGUCGAGAGAAAAUCGCCAAUGGAGGUUUGGGUUUUGAAAAUAUGAAAAAUGAAGUUUGAAAUCGGCUAAGUAUAAGUUGCACAGUUGCAGAUGUCGCAAAUGCGAUAUUAACUUCGCAUUUGUGAACUAGGCAGAAAUAAAGGGAAUCUCGCAUUUGUGAGAGAAUGUUCGCAAAUGCAAACUGGGCAGGGAAAAUGAUUAACUUGCAUUUGCGAGAAAAGGUUCGCAAAUGCGAAUACACGCUUAAGCUGGGGAAAUUCGCAUUUGCGAGAUUGGCUUCGCAUUUACGAAGUCUGGCUGGAAAGGGGAAUGACCGCAAUUGCGGAGACUGGCCAAACAAAGGAGGAUCGAAAUUAUGAGAUUUUUCCUCGCAUUUGCGAAGAAGAAGGCUAAAGGGGGAAGUUCGCAUGUGCGAAGAUUUCUUUGCAAAUGCGAAGACUACACAUACCAGCAGUUGAAAUGCUUCAAAAUGAGCCUAUCACAUAUCCGAAACUCACCCGAUCCCUUUGGGCUCCAACCCAAACAUGCACCAAACCUCAAAAACAUCCUACAGACUUACACGUGCGAUCAAAUCGCCAAAAUAACAUCAAAAUCAAAUAAUCAACCUCAAAAACUCAUGAUUUUAAUUUCAAAGUUCAAAACUUUCAAAAAUUCCUUUUUUAUAUCGAAACACGCCAAACGACUUUCGUUUUCAACCAAACUUAACAGAUAGCGCUUGACGCUCAUUUAAGACUUGUACCAAGCGUCGGAACUAAAAUAUGAGCCCGAUACCAUCACUUUUAAUCAAUUUUCAUUUUCAUUUUUUUUCUUAAGAAAUUUCAGAAAACAAUUUCAUAGAAAAAUUUCGUACUCAGGCCUGCGACCUCGGAUUUCGAUUCCGGGAAUAUGCCCAUGUCCCAAAUUUCAUUACGGAUCAUUCGGGACCAUCACAUCAGGGUUCCGGGUACGUUUACCCAAACACAUUGACCAAAGUCAACUAUAGCAAUAUUAUUAUCAAAAUUCAUAGUUUUUAACACAGAAUUCAAAUAUUUCCACAUAAACAUUUUCCGGCUUCGUGUCGGACUGCGCAUGCAAAUUGAGGCAACCAACUAAGAGGUUACAAGGCCUUAGAAGCGCAAAGAAAGAGAGAAUUGCAGUGAUGACCCUUUGGGUCGUCACAUCCUCCACCUCUAAAACAACCUUUCGUCCUCGAAUGGACAAAAGAAAGGAGUACCUGAGUCGGGGAAUAGAUGGAGAUAACGGCUCCACAUAGACUUGGAAUCCAAAGUCGAGGCCUUAGUAGGGUGACCUCUCCACUGAACACGCACUGAAGGUAAACUCUGCGACUUCAACAGUCGAACCUGUCGGUCUAAAAUAGCCACCGGCUCCUCCUCAUAUGACAGAUCCUUGUCCAAUUGGGAGGCUGACCUCUCCACCGAACACGCACCGAAGAAAAACUCCGCGACCUCAACUGUCGAACAUGCCGGUCUAAAAUAGCCACCGGCUCCUCCUCAUAUGAUAGAUCCUUGUCCAAUUGGGCAGUACUGAAAUCUAACACGUGGGUGAGAUCACCAUGAUACUUUCGAAGAUGGAUACAUGAAAAACCGGGUGCACAACUGACAAACUAGGUGGCAAUGCAAGUCCAUAAGCCACAUUUCCCACACGGUCAAGAAUCUCAAAUUACCAAUAUACCUAGGGCUAAGCUUUCCCUUCUUCCCGAACCUCAUCACACCCUCAAAGGCGAUACACGAAGUAAUACCCGCUCACAAACCAUGAAUACAACAUCCCUGACCUUACGAUCUUCAAAACGUUUCUGCCUAGACUGAGCUGACUGAAGCCUAUCCUGAAUGAUCUUGACCUUAUCCAAGGCCUCCUGUACCAAAUCUGUACCCAAUAAUCGAGCCUUUCCCGUCUCAAACCAUCUGACUGGGGACCGACACCACUUACCAUACAAUGCAUCAUAUGGAACCAUCUGAAUAUUUGACUGGUAGUUGUUGUUGUAGGCAAACACUGGUAAAGGCAAGAACGGCUCGCACGAGCCUCCAAAGUCAAUAAUGCAGGCUCGGAGCAUAUCCUCAAGAAUCUAAAUAGUCCUCUCGGACUGACCAUCCGUCUGGGGGUGAAAUGUUGUACCCAACUGGACAUGGGUGCCCAACUCAUGCUGCACCGCUCUCCAGAAAUGUGAGGUAAACUGCGGACCCCGAUCCNNNAAUCUCAAGUGGACCUGAGUGCCCAACUCAUGCUGUACCGCUCUCCAGAAAUGCGAGGUAAACUGCGGACCCCAGUCCGAAAUAAUAGAUAUAGGGACCCGAUGAAGGCAAACGAUCUCCCUGAUAUAAAUCUCAACAUACCUCUCGGAUGAAUAGGUGGUGGCAACUGGGAUGAAAUGCGCUGACUUAUCAGCCUAUCAACAAUAACCCAUAUAACAUCAAACUUCUUCCGAGUCAUCGAAAGGCCAGUAACAAAAUCCGUGGUGAUUCUCUCCCACUUCCACUCGGGAACCUCAAUCCUUUGAAAUAACCCAUCGGGCUUUUGAUGCUCGUACUUAACCUGCUGAUAAUUUAGACAACGAGCCACAUAUACAACAAUGUCUUUCUUCAUUCUGCGCCGCCAAUAAUGCUGUCUCAAAUCCUGAUACAUUUUCGCGACGCCCGGGUGAAUAGAAUACCGAGAACUAUGGGCCUCCGCUAAGAUAGAUUCUCGAAUACCAUCAACAUUGGGCACAGAAACUCGCCCCGGCAACCUCAAUACCCCAUCAUCUCCCAAAGUCAUCUCCCUGGCGCCUCCCCGCUGUACCGUCUCUCUCGGGACACACAAAUGGGGAUCAUCAAUCUGUCGCUCCCGGAUACGCUCCAUCAAUGACGAGCGAGCAACCGUGCAAGCUAACACCCUGCUGGGUUCAGAAAUAUCCAAUCUCACAAAUCUAUUGGCCAAGGCGUGAACAUCCAAGGCAAGUGGUCUCUGGCUAACAGGAAUAUAUGCAAGACUACCCAUGUUGGCGGACUUCCUACUCAAUGCAUCGGCCACAUCCAAUAUCACAAAUCUAUUUGUCACGGCCCGAACAUCCAAGGCAAGCGAUCUCUUGCUGAUCGAAAUAUAUGCAAGACUACCCAUGGUGGCGGACUUUUUACUCAAUGCAUCAGCCACCACAUUGGCCUUCCCCGGGUGGUAUAAAAUAGAAGCAUCAUAAUCUUUUUACAACUCCAACCACCUCCAUUGUCUCAAAUUCAACUCUUUCUGCUUGAACAGGUAAUGAAGGCUCUUAUGAUCUGUGUACACCUCACACGUCACACCAUACAAAUAAUGCCUCCAGAUCUUAAAGGCAUGAACAAUGGCUGCAAACUCUAGGUCAUGAACUGGAUAAUUCAUCUUGUGGAUCUUCAACUGCCUCGAAAUAAUGCCUCCAGAUCUUAAAGGCAUGAACAAUGGCUGCCAACUCUAGGUCAUGAACUGGAUAAUUCUUCUUGUGGAUUUUCAACUGCCUCGAAGCAUAUGCUAUAACCUUGAUGUCCUGCAUCAACACUGUGCCAAGUCCGAUACGGGAGGCAUCACAAUACACAGUAUAAGGCCCAGACCCCGUGAGCAAAGCCAAUACAGGUACCAUAGUCAUAGCCGUCUUGAGCUUCUGGAAGCUCGCCUCGCACUAAUCUGACCACAUGAACUGGGCACCCUUCUGAGUCAAUCUAGUCAUCGGGGUUCCGAUGAAUGAAAACCCCUCCACGAAACGUCUGUAGUAACCAACUAACCACAAGAAGCUCCGAAUCUCUGUAGCUAAGCUUGUCGAGGCCAGUUCUUGACUACUUCUAUCUUCUUCGAGUCUACCUGAAUACCCUCUACUGAUACGACAUGAUUAGGAAUGCAACUGAACGCAACCGAAAUUCGUACUAUGAAAACUUGGCAUAAAACUGGCUAUGCUUCAGAGUCUAAAGAACCACUCUGAGGUGCUGCUCAUGCUCCUCCUGGCUGCGGGAGUAGACCAAGAUAUCAUCAAUGAAUACAGUCACAAAUAAAUCCAAAUAAGGCCUGAACGCUCGAUUUAUCAACUCCAUGAAUUAUGCUAGGGCAUUGGUCAACCCAAACGACAUGACCAAAAACUCAUAAAUCCCAAAUAAAUCCAAAUAAGGCCCGAACACUCAGUUUAUCAACUCCAUGAAUGCUGCCGAGGCAUUGGUCAACCCAAACGACAUGACUAGAAACUCAUACGAAGUGCUGUCUUAGAGAAAUCUGACGCCCUAAUCCUCAGCUGAUGAUAACCAGACCUCAAAUAUAUCUUCAAGAACACCCUGGAACCCUGGAUCCGGUCAAUCAAACUGUCAAUGCUCAGCAGUGGAUACUUGUUCUUUAUCGUCACCUUGUUCAACUGCCGGUAAUCAAUGCCCAUCCUCAUCGACCCGUCCUUUUUCUUCACAAACAACACUGGUGCACUCCAAGGUGAUGCACUAGGUCUAAUGAAACCCUUAUCAAGCAAGUCCUGAAGUUGCUCCUUCAACUCUUUCAACUCUUGCAGGGCCAUGCGAUACGACGAAAAAGAAAUAAGUUGAGUACCAGGAGCCAGAUCAAUACAGAAAUCAAUAUCCCUAUCAGGAGGCAUACCCAGCAGGUCUGAAGGAAAACCUCAGGGAACUCCUAACCAAUAGGGAUAGAAUCGAUAGAUGGAACCUCUACUUGGAGUUGCGAAGAUACGCCAAAUAUGCUAGACACCCUUUUUCAACCAUACGCCGAGGCUUGAUAUAUGAAAUCACACUACAGGUGGCAUGACCUGGGGUCCCUCUCCUCUCAAGUCGGGGCAAAUCGGGCAAGGCCAAUGUCAUGUUCUUGGUGUGACAAUCCAAGAUAGCAUGAUAUGGGGACAACCAGUCCAUCCCCAAUAUAACAUCAAAUACCACCAUGUCUAGAAGCAAUAAGUCGACACGGGUCUCAAGACCCUCAAAUACCACCACACAAGAACGAUGGACUCGUUUGACCACAAUAAAAUCACCAACCGGCUCGGACACAUAUACAGUAAUACUCAAAGUUUCACUAGGCAUGAUCAAAUAGGGUGCAAAUUAGGAGGACACAUAAGAAUAUGUAGAUCUCAGAUCAAAUAAUACUGAAGCACCUCUAUCAAAGACCAGUAUAGUACCUGUAAUCACAUCAUCAGAUGACUCGGCCUCCGGCCUAGUUGGCAAUGCAUAACAACGGAGCUAGCCCCCACCUCCCUGAAUUGUAUCACUAGGAUGAUCUGCUGCGGGCUGACCCCUACCUCUGGCUGUUUGAGCUCUACCUCUAUGCUCCCUACCUCCACCUCGAUGGUAUCUACCCCCGCAUCUAGCUCGCUGGGUGGCCUUUGGAUCAUUUGCUGCCUGAAUCAUGGGACGAGGACACUGCUGCUGUGAACUGCUAGAAGCUCGAGGGCAAUACUUGGCAAUGUGCCUCAGGUCGCCACAAGUGAAGCAAGCACUCGGCUGCUGAGAAUAUCGAAGUGGUGGUGCACUGAUAGGAGUUGAUGGUGAGCUGAAGAGCUGCUGGUCAGAAUAUUGUGGCUGAGAGCUACGACCACCUGGAGCAUUAUGAGAAAUCUGGAGAGCUGACUGGAAAGGUCUCACGGGAUGGCCUCUGUCAUGGAAAUCCCUACCUCCAGAUGAGGUACCACUAAAUCUACCAGAAUGAGAGCUACUGGUCAGAAAACUGUGGCUGAGAGCUACGACCACCUGGAGCACUAUGAGAAGCCUGGAGUGCUUACUGGAAAGGUCUCGAGGGACGGCCUCGGUCAUGGAAAUCCCUACCUCCAGAUGAGGUACCACAAAAUCUACCAGAAUGUUGAGGCCUCUUAUCUGAACCCUUAAUAUCUUCUCGAGCCAGUGCCAUCUCUACUCGGCGGGCUGCAUUGGCUGCCUCCUGAAAAGUAAUAUCAUAACAAAAUCACAUAGCCAUCUGAAGGCAAAUCGGCUGAAUCAAUCCAUCAAUGAAACUUCGGACCAUCUCUCGAUCUGUAGGGAGUAUCACUACUGAAUGGCGUGCCAAGUAAACAAAUCUUGUCUCACACUAUGUAACUGUCAGUGAGACCUGCUGAAGGCGCUCAAACUGCUCACGAAGCGCCUCCCGCUGAGUGACGGGGAGAAACUUCUCCAAAAUAACUCCGCGAACUGAUCCCAUGUCAAGGCUGGUGACUCUGCUGGUCUAGAUAAGCAAAAAUCCCUCCACCAAGUCUUGGUGGACCCCACAAGCCUAAAAGUACAAAAAUAAACCCCAUUGGUCUCUACUAUCCCCAUAGUCCUGAAGAUCUCAUGACAACUGCAUAGAAAAUACUGGGGAUCCUCCGAUGAAGCACCGCCGAAAGUAGUGGUGAAAGGCUUGGAGAACCGAUUGAGUCUCCACAAAGCAUCUGAAGACAUGGCCCCCCCAUCUACGGCCUGAGCUGCAAUGCCUGUCUGAGCUGCCUCUGUGGGCUGAACUAACGGAUCCUGAGUCUAGGGAGCUACCUGCUCCAGAGGACGUGUAGCAGGAGUCUGAACCCCUCAUCCAGCCUAAGAAGUGGCUGGUUCUACUGGAGGCAAUCCCGCUCUAGCGACACUGUCCGUAAAGCAUGAUAUGCGGACAAGAGCAUCCAUCUGAAGAAAACAUCAUUCCUCCUAGGACCUGAGUUGGGCCCACUGGAGCUGGUAGAGCUGAAACCUCCUCAUCAAAGUCAAUAUGAGGAUCCACCUCUCGAACAGCUGCCUGGGGCUGUGCUUUGCCCUUGCCACGGCCUCUGGCACGGCCUUGACCCCUGCCACUCGCGGGAGCUACUGCUGGGGGCUCGGGAUGCUGUGCAGAAGAAGAAGAUGCAUGUGUUCUCUCCAUCUGCGAAAGAACAUAGUAGAACGACAAUUAAUAUUUGAGAAAUUGAAUCGCAUGACAAGAAUGAACAAA